Molecule: ribosomal RNA, 773 nt
Filed under: uncultured Neocallimastigales
Lineage: Eukaryota; Fungi; Neocallimastigomycota; Neocallimastigomycetes; Neocallimastigales
Description: partial large subunit ribosomal RNA
Rfam family: Eukaryotic large subunit ribosomal RNA
Source: RNAcentral
GUAGUCUCGCACAGAUGCAUAUCAAUAAGCGGAGGAAAAGAAACUAACAAGGAUUCCCUUAGUAACGGCGAGUGAAGCGGGAAGAGCUCAAAUUUGAAAUCUUCAAGGUUUUACCUUGACGAAUUGUAGUUUAAAGAAGCGUUUUCUGUUGAAGUUUUGGUAAAAGUUCUUUGGAAUAGGACAUCAUAGAGGGUGAGAAUCCCGUAUUUGACCAUUAUUUUCAGCUGUGUGAUACACUUUCAAAGAGUCGGAUUGUUUGGGAGUGCAGUCCAAAAUGGGUGGUAAAUUUCAUCUAAAGCUAAAUAUUGGCGAGAGACCGAUAGCGAACAAGUACCGUGAGGGAAAGAUGAAAAGAACUAUGAAAAGAGAGUUAAAUAGUACGUGAAAUUGUCAAAAGGGAAGCGUUUGACACCAGUGUUGUUUUCUCGAAAAUCAAUUAAAAAGAGUUAGAUUUUGUUGUGUAUUGACCUUAACAGCUUGCAUUUCAAUUUUCUUGCUUUUUUUAAUGCACUUUUCGUUUAACAAGUCAACAUCAGUUUCUUUUGUUGUAAAAAGGUCAUUGGAAGGUGGCUUUCUUUUCGGAGAAAGUGUUUAUAGCCUUUGACUCCUGCAAUCGGAGAGACUGAGGUCUGCAGCGUAGAUCCUUCGGGGUUAGAUACAUUUGUGCUAAGUUAUAGCUUUUUAUAGACAACUUGUUGACUAUGAUUAGUCUUGUAGCUUACUCGCUUAUGCUAUUUUACCUACGCUUAGGAUGUUGAAGAUGUAGCACAUCA